CUAAGAAUAUUCCGCAAUGGACGAAAGUCUGACGGAGCGACGCCGCGUGGAUGAAGAAGGCCGGAAGGUUGUAAAGUUCUUUUAAGCAUGAAGAAGGAUUAUUGCAGGAAAUGGCAGUAAAGUGACGGUAGUGCUUGAAUAAGGACCGGCUAAUUCCGUGCCAGCAGCCGCGGUAAUACGGAAGGUCCGGGCGUUAUCCGGAUUUAUUGGGUUUAAAGGGAGCGUAGGCCGUCUUAUAAGCGUGUUGUGAAAUGUCGUGGCUCAACCUGGGCAUUGCAGCGCGAACUGUGAGACUUGAGUGCGCAGGAAGUAGGCGGAAUUCGUCGUGUAGCGGUGAAAUGCUUAGAUAUGACGAAGAACUCCGAUUGCGAAGGCAGCCUGCUGUAGCGCAACUGACGCUGAAGCUCGAAAGCGUGGGUAUCGAACAGGAUUA
RNAcentral lists this ribosomal RNA (433 nucleotides) under uncultured Prevotella sp. RNAcentral describes it as "bacterial SSU rRNA". It matches the Rfam family "Bacterial small subunit ribosomal RNA", at positions 355 to 780 of the family's 1533-position model. The record is from RNAcentral. Lineage: Bacteria; Pseudomonadati; Bacteroidota; Bacteroidia; Bacteroidales; Prevotellaceae.